GUGUUUCAAAUUCAGGCUGGUUGCCCCUUUACUCCACCAAUCCUCUUAAGGGAACUCUAAAGUAGAAGUCAUAUAAACAAAUUCUGCACAGUGACGCAAACGGGGACACGAGGUUAGGAAGAGUUGGUGAAAAUAAGCACAGAGCGGGGGCACAGGGUGCAGGAAAAUGUCAACGACAAUGAAAAAGGCACAAGGUUCUUCAGCUAGCCACUAAAAUGAUCCAGUGCCUUGUCUACCCUAACUGGCAAUGGUUCUUCAGGAUGGUGUUUCACUUCAGCCACCACUUAAUCCAUUUAGUGGGAGAUAUGCCAGGCAAUGAAAGGAGGACCUAUGGAGAGCUUGAUAUCUGCCCUGGUCUGCUGGAAAGAGUAAGAGCCACCCCACACUCCAUGUUUUUAUGUGUUCACAAAAAUUGCUUUGCUGUAAACACGUGUACAACUGGCAAAAGUGGCGCUGGGGGUAGCAACUCAUGUUGGAAGUGUUCUCAGCAACCUGGAACUUUUUUUCAUAUGUGGUGGACAUGCAAUAAAGUAAAAAGAUUUUGGAGACAGAUAAAAGAUAUUACACAGGAAAUUAUAUAACAAAAAAUAGCGUUUAAACCAGAAAUAUUUUUGCUGAAUAUAAUGCCAGAUAUCAUUGAUAAAAAUUAAAUAUAUGUUGCUGCACAUAUUUACAGCUGCAAGGCCCUAAAAUGGAAACAUCAGGAAAAUCCAAAGAUAGAGGAGCUGUUUAAAAAAUUAUUAGAUAUUACCGAAAUGGAUAGCUUAUCAGAGGCAUUACAUGAGAACCUGAGAACAUAUGUUAGAGAAAGCUGGAAAAUGUUUUAUUGGGCUCAGAAACAAACAUGAGUAGAGAAUAUAAUACAGGUUAUGGAUUUUAGUAUUGAACACAGCCAUGGAGUCAAGAUUAUAUUAGAUAUUGUAUUAUUGCAAUACUUCCCAGUGUUUAUGCUUUGUUUUGUUUUACCUCCCUCCCCCCCCAUAUUUGUAUCCCUUUGAUUGUUGUUUGUUUGUGUGUUAUAUAAUAAUAAAAUUCAAUAUAAAAAACGAAAGAAACA
RNAcentral lists this long non-coding RNA (1057 nucleotides) under Pogona vitticeps (central bearded dragon). RNAcentral's name for it is "lncRNA (ENSPVIG00000020940.1)". The record is from RNAcentral. Lineage: Eukaryota; Metazoa; Chordata; Lepidosauria; Squamata; Agamidae.